This 1298-nucleotide ribosomal RNA is filed under the name metagenome. RNAcentral describes it as "SSU rRNA". It matches the Rfam family "Eukaryotic small subunit ribosomal RNA", at positions 500 to 1823 of the family's 1831-position model. The record is from RNAcentral.
GCUCCGUAAUCGGAAUGAGUACACUUUAAAUCCUUUAACGAGGAUCUAUUCGAGGGCAAGUCUGGUGCCAGCAGCCGCGUAAUUCCAGCUCCAAUAGCGUAUAUUAUUAUUGUUGCGGUUAAAAAGCUCGUAGUUGGAUCUCGGUUUCGGGCGAGCGGUGUACCUUGCGGUAUUUACUGUUUGCCCGGACGAUUUUGUUGGUUCGUUUAUGGUUCUCUUAACCGAGUGCCAUAAGUGGCCAGCACGUUUACUUUGAAAAAAUUGGAGUGCUCAAAGCAGGCGCUACAGCCUGAACAUUAGUGCAUGGAAUAAUGGAAUAGGAUCUCGGUUCUAUUUCGUUGGCUUUCGGAGUCGAGGUAAUGAUUAAUAGGGACAGACGGGGGCAUUCGUACUGCGACGUUAGAGGUGAAAUUCUUGGAUCGUCGCAAGACGAACUACUGCGAAAGCAUUUGCCAAGAAUGUUUUCAUUAAUCAAGAUCGAAAGUUAGAGGUUCGAAGGCGAUCAGAUACCGCCCUAGUUCUAACCAUAAACGAUGUCGACCGGCGAUCCGUUAUCGUUAACUGAAUGACUUAACGGGCAGCCUCCGGGAAACCAGAGUGUUUGGAUUCCGGGGGAAGUAUGGUUGCAAAGCUGAAACUUAAAAGAAUUGACGGAAGGGCACCACCAGGAGUGGAGCCUGCGGCUUAAUUUGACCCAACACGGGAAAUCUCACCAGGCCCGGACACCGGAAGGAUUGACAGAUUGAGAGCUCUUUCUUGAUUCGGUGGGUGGUGGUGCAUGGCCGUUCUUAGUUGGUGGAGCGAUUUGUCUGGUUAAUUCCGAUAACGAACGAGACUCUGGCCUACUAACUAGACGUUAGAUCCCUUUGUGGGUCUAUCGCAGCUUCUUAGGGACGGGCGGCGUUUAGCCGCACGAGAUUGAGCAAUAACAGGUCUGUGAUGCCCUUAGAUGUUCUGGGCUGCACGCGCGCUACACUGAAGGAAUCAGCGUGUGUUCCCUACCCGAAAGGGUUGGGAAACCCGUUGAACCUCCUUCGUGAUGGGGAUUGGGGAUUGCAAUUAUUCCCCAUGAACGAGGAAUUCCCAGUAGGCGCGAGUCAUAAGCUUGCGUCGAUUACGUCCCUGCCCUUUGUACACACCGCCCGUCGCUACUACCGAUCGAGUGAUUUAGUGAGGCCUUCGGACUGGUCUUCAGUAUGGCUUUCGGGUCGUGUUGGAGUACCGGAAAGAUAACCAAACUUGAUCACUUAGAGGAAGUAAAAGUCGUAACAAGGUUUCCGUAGGUGAACCUGCGGAAG